Molecule: ribosomal RNA, 234 nt
Filed under: uncultured bacterium
Lineage: Bacteria
Description: partial 16S ribosomal RNA
Rfam family: Bacterial small subunit ribosomal RNA
Source: RNAcentral
UCACCUACGGGGGGCAGCAGUGGGGAAUAUUGGACAAUGGGGGGAGCCCUGAUCCAGCGACGCCGCGUGAGUGAAGAAGUAUUUCGGUAUGUAAAGCUCUAUCAGCAGGGAAGAAAGAAAUGACGGUACCUGACUAAGAAGCCCCGGCUAACUACGUGCCAGCAGCCGCGGUAAUACGUAGGGGGCAAGCGUUAUCCGGAUUUACUGGGCGUAAAGAGGGAGCAGGCGGCAGCA